This 212-nucleotide ribosomal RNA is filed under the name uncultured bacterium. RNAcentral describes it as "partial 16S ribosomal RNA". It matches the Rfam family "Bacterial small subunit ribosomal RNA", at positions 1290 to 1500 of the family's 1533-position model. The record is from RNAcentral.
AGUUCGGAUUGCAGGCUGCGACUCGCCUGUAUGAAGUCGGAAUUGCUAGUAAUCGUGGAUCAGCAUGCCACGGUGAAUACGUUCCCGGGCCUUGUACACACCGCCCGUCACACCAUGAGAGCCGGGAACACCCGAAGUCCGUAGUCUAACCUAUAUGGAGGACGCGGCCGAAGGUGGGUUUGGUAAUUGGGGUGAAGUCGUAACAAGGUAUC